GCUGGCGGCGUGCCUAAUACAUGCAAGUCGAGCGGACCGAACGGAAGCUUGCUUCUGUUCGGUUAGCGGCGGACGGGUGAGUAACACGUGGGUAACCUGCCCGUAAGACCGGGAUAACUCCGGGAAACCGGGGCUAAUACCGGAUAACACCGAAGACCGCAUGGUCUUUGGUUGAAAGGUGGCUUUUGCUACCACUUACGGAUGGGCCCGCGGCGCAUUAGCUAGUUGGUGAGGUAACGGCUCACCAAGGCGACGAUGCGUAGCCGGCCUGAGAGGGUGACCGGCCACACUGGGACUGAGACACGGCCCAGACUCCUACGGGAGGCAGCAGUAGGGAAUCUUCCGCAAUGGACGAAAGUCUGACGGAGCGACGCCGCGUGAGCGAAGAAGGUCUUCGGAUCGUAAAGCUCUGUUGUUAGGGAAGAAGAAGUACCGUUCGAAUAGGGCGGUACGGUGACGGUACCUAACGAGAAAGCCCCGGCUAACUAC
Molecule: ribosomal RNA, 489 nt
Filed under: Bacillus sp. Kps3
Lineage: Bacteria; Bacillati; Bacillota; Bacilli; Caryophanales; Bacillaceae
Description: bacterial SSU rRNA
Rfam family: Bacterial small subunit ribosomal RNA
Source: RNAcentral